Molecule: ribosomal RNA, 443 nt
Filed under: uncultured bacterium
Lineage: Bacteria
Description: partial 16S ribosomal RNA
Rfam family: Bacterial small subunit ribosomal RNA
Source: RNAcentral
CCUACGGGAGGCAGCAGUGGGGAAUAUUGGGCAAUGGAGGCAACUCUGACCCAGCAACGCCGCGUGAAUGAUGAAGGUCUUCGGAUUGUAAAGUUCUGUGAUGGGGGAUGAACACAAUGACGGUACCCCAAUAGCAAGCCACGGCUAACUACGUGCCAGCAGCCGCUGUAAUACGUCGGUGGCAAGCGUUAUCCGGAAUGACUGGGCGUAAAGGGUUCGUAGGUGGUUUAGUAAGUUGGCGGUGUAAUUCCGGGGGCGAACCUCGGCCGUACCGCUAAAACUGGCAGACUAGAGUGCAGGAGGGGUAAGUGGAAGUGCUAGUGUAGCGGUGGAAUGCGUAGAUAUUAGGAGGAACAUCAGGUGCGAAGGCGACUUACUGGCCUGUGACUGACACUGAGGCACGAAAGCGUGGGGAGCAAACAGGAUUAGAUACCCGUGUAGUC